CAGAGGGUGCGAGCGUUGUCCGGAAUCACUGGGCGUAAAGGGCGCGUAGGCGGCUUGGUAAGUAGGGGGUGAAAUCUCACGGCUCAACUGUGAGGCUGCCUUCUAGACUGCCGGGCUCGAGCACAGUAGAGGCAGGUGGAAUUCCCGGUGUAGCGGUGGAAUGCGUAGAGAUCGGGAAGAACAUCGGUGGCGAAGGCGGCCUGCUGGGCUGUUGCUGACGCUGAGGCGCGACAGCGUGGGGAGCAAACAGGAUUAGAUACCCUGGUAGUCCACGCCGUAAACGAUGGGUACUAGGCGUCGGGGGGAGCGACCCCUCCGGUGCCGUCGCUAACGCAAUAAGUACCCCGCCUGGGGAGUACGGCCGCAAGGCUG
RNAcentral lists this ribosomal RNA (372 nucleotides) under uncultured organism. RNAcentral's name for it is "bacterial SSU rRNA". It matches the Rfam family "Bacterial small subunit ribosomal RNA", at positions 526 to 896 of the family's 1533-position model. The record is from RNAcentral.